RNAcentral lists this ribosomal RNA (550 nucleotides) under uncultured bacterium. RNAcentral describes it as "bacterial SSU rRNA". It matches the Rfam family "Bacterial small subunit ribosomal RNA", at positions 355 to 896 of the family's 1533-position model. The record is from RNAcentral.
UAAGGAAUCUUCGGCAAUGGACGGAAGUCUGACCGAGCAACGCCGCGUGAGUGAAGAAGGUUUUCGGAUCGUAAAGCUCUGUUGUAAGAGAAGAACGAGUGUGAGAGUGGAAAGUUCACACUGUGACGGUAUCUUACCAGAAAGGGACGGCUAACUACGUGCCAGCAGCCGCGGUAAUACGUAGGUCCCGAGCGUUGUCCGGAUUUAUUGGGCGUAAAGCGAGCGCAGGCGGUUAGAUAAGUCUGAAGUUAAAGGCUGUGGCUUAACCAUAGUAGGCUUUGGAAACUGUUUAACUUGAGUGCAAGAGGGGAGAGUGGAAUUCCAUGUGUAGCGGUGAAAUGCGUAGAUAUAUGGAGGAACACCGGUGGCGAAAGCGGCUCUCUGGCUUGUAACUGACGCUGAGGCUCGAAAGCGUGGGGAGCAAACAGGAUUAGAUACCCUGGUAGUCCACGCUGUAAACGAUGAGUGCUAGGUGUUAGACCCUUUCCGGGGUUUAGUGCCGUAGCUAACGCAUUAAGCACUCCGCCUGGGGAGUACGACCGCAAGGUUG